RNAcentral lists this ribosomal RNA (377 nucleotides) under uncultured eukaryote. RNAcentral describes it as "partial 18S ribosomal RNA". It matches the Rfam family "Eukaryotic small subunit ribosomal RNA", at positions 592 to 976 of the family's 1831-position model. The record is from RNAcentral.
CAAUAGCGUAUAUUUAAGUUGCUGCAGUUAAAAAGCUCGUAGUUGGAUUUCGGGUGGGAAUGGCCGGUCCGCCGUUUCGGUGUGCACUUGCUACGCCCACCUUGCUGCCGGGGACGUGCUCUUGAGUUCACGCUCGGGACACGGAGUCGGCGAGGUUACUUUGAGUAAAUUAGAGUGUUCAAAGCAGGCCUACGCUCUGAAUACAUUAGCAUGGAAUAACACGAUAGGACUCUGGCCUAUCUUGUUGGUCUGUAGGACCGGAGUAAUGAUUAAAAGGGACAGUCGGGGGCAUUCGUAUUCCGUUGUCAGAGGUGAAAUUCUUGGAUUUACGGAAGACGAACUUCUGCGAAAGCAUUUGCCAAGGAUGUUUUCAUUAA